Molecule: long non-coding RNA, 487 nt
Filed under: Podarcis muralis (Common wall lizard)
Lineage: Eukaryota; Metazoa; Chordata; Lepidosauria; Squamata; Lacertidae
Description: lncRNA (ENSPMRG00000016366.1)
Source: RNAcentral
UAAUAGUGACAUCUUCAGCACGUUCAGAAUGCAGAGUUAAAUUACCAGCAAUUGUUUUCUACAUAUGUUCAGUAAUAUUAAUACUGAUACUUACUCUGAAGUUUUGGUUGCCUUUUCCUUUUUGACUUAUAUCCAGACUUAGUCGUGGUGAACUUGUCCCGGUGAUUUAAAGUGUGACUAGCUUAGUCUGGAUCUGAGCUCUUAUCUCUUGCAGUUCAGUUCAUUUCCUGAGAUGGAUGCUGUUUACUUUCCCCCAAAUUCAUUUAUUCUGCUUGGAAAAGAAAGUUUGGAAAAGACAAGAAAUAGUUCAAUCCUGUACCUGUCUACCCAGAAAAGAUGAGCUGCACUGAAAUGGAAACAAUACUGCAUGUGACAACUACAGGGCGGAAAGGAAAACAUUGCCUUCUUAUAGCCAUAUUCACAAGGAAGAGAAGACAUGACUUCUUCCUGAUAUUUGUGCAGAGUCAGGAAGCCCAGCCCAUCACAG